This 422-nucleotide ribosomal RNA is filed under the name uncultured bacterium. RNAcentral describes it as "bacterial SSU rRNA". It matches the Rfam family "Bacterial small subunit ribosomal RNA", at positions 360 to 773 of the family's 1533-position model. The record is from RNAcentral.
AAUAUUGCGCAAUGGCCGAAAGGCUGACGCAGCGACGCCGCGUGUGGGAGGAAGCCCUUCGGGGUGUAAACCACUGUCGGGAGGGACGAAUCGCGAACGGGCGAACAGCCCGGGCGCUUGACGGUACCUCCAAAGGAAGCACCGGCUAACUCCGUGCCAGCAGCCGCGGUAAGACGGAGGGUGCAAGCGUUGUGCGGAAUUACUGGGCGUAAAGCGCUCGCAGGUGGUGCGCUGCGUCGUGCGUGAAAGACCCCGGCUCAACUGGGGGAUGUCGUGCGAUACGGGCGGACUGGAGGCCAGUAGGGGGAUGCGGAAUUCCGGGUGUAGUGGUGGAAUGCGUAGAGAUCCGGAGGAACACCAGCGGCGAAGGCGGCAUCCUGGACUGGUCCUGACACUCAGGAGCGAAAGCGUGGGGAGCGAUC